GCACGAAAGGCGUAACGAUUUGGGCACUGUCUCAACGAGAGACUCGGUGAAAUCAUAGUACCUGUGAAGAUGCAGGUUACCCGCGACAGGACGGAAAGACCCCGUGGAGCUUUACUGUAGCCUGAUAUUGAAAUUCGGCACAGCUUGUACAGGAUAGGUAGGAGCCUUUGAAACGUGAGCGCUAGCUUACGUGGAGGCGUUGGUGGGAUACUACCCUAGCUGUGUUGGCUUUCUAACCCGCACCACUUAUCGUGGUGGGAGACAGUGUCAGGCGGGCAGUUUGACUGGGGCGGUCGCCUCCUAAAAGGUAACGGAGGCGCUCAAAGGUUCCCUCAGAAUGGUUGGAAAUCAUUCAUAGAGUGUAAAGGCAUAAGGGAGCUUGACUGCGAGACCUACAAGUCGAGCAGGGUCGAAAGACGGACUUAGUGAUCCGGUGGUUCCGCAUGGAAGGGCCAUCGCUCAACGGAUAAAAGCUACCCCGGGGAUAACAGGCUUAUCUCCCCCAAGAGUUCACAUCGACGGGGAGGUUUGGCACCUCGAUGUCGGCUCAUCGCAUCCUGGGGCUGUAGUCGGUCCCAAGGGUUGGGCUGUUCGCCCAUUAAAGCGGUACGCGAGCUGGGUUCAGAACGUCGUGAGACAGUUCGGUCCCUAUCCGUCGUGGGCGUAGGAAAUUUGAGAGGAGCUGUCCUUAGUACGAGAGGACCGGGAUGGACAUACCUCUGGUGUACCAGUUGUCGUGCCAACGGCAUAGCUGGGUAGCUAUGUAUGGACGGGAUAAGUGCUGAAAGCAUCUAAGCAUGAAGCCCCCCUCAAGAUGAGAUUUCCCAACUUCGGUUAUAAGAUCCCUCAGAGAUGAUGAGGUUAAUAGGUUCGAGGUGGAAGCGUGGUGACACGUGGAGCUGACGAAUACUAAUCGAUCGAAGACUUAAUCAAUUU
Molecule: ribosomal RNA, 936 nt
Filed under: Escherichia coli
Lineage: Bacteria; Pseudomonadati; Pseudomonadota; Gammaproteobacteria; Enterobacterales; Enterobacteriaceae
Description: partial 23S ribosomal RNA
Rfam family: Bacterial large subunit ribosomal RNA
Source: RNAcentral